AGUGAACGCUGGCGGUAGGCCUAACACAUGCAAGUCGAACGGCAGCACAGUAAGAGCUUGCUCUUACGGGUGGCGAGUGGCGGACGGGUGAGGAAUACAUCGGAAUCUACUUUUUCGUGGGGGAUAACGUAGGGAAACUUACGCUAAUACCGCAUACGACCUACGGGUGAAAGCAGGGGAUCUUCGGACCUUUCGCGAUUGAAUGAGCCGAUGUCGGAUUAGCUAGUUGGCGGGGUAAAGGCCCACCAAGGCGACGAUCCGUAGCUGGUCUGAGAGGAUGAUCAGCCACACUGGAACUGAGACACGGUCCAGACUCCUACGGGAGGCAGCAGUGGGGAAUAUUGGACAAUGGGCGCAAGCCUGAUCCAGCCAUACCGCGUGGGUGAAGAAGGCCUUCGGGUUGUAAAGACCUUUUGUUGGGAAAGAAAAGCAGCAGGUUAAUACCCCGCUGUUCUGACGGUACCCAAAGAAUAAGCACCGGCUAACUUCGUG
Molecule: ribosomal RNA, 492 nt
Filed under: uncultured bacterium
Lineage: Bacteria
Description: partial 16S ribosomal RNA
Rfam family: Bacterial small subunit ribosomal RNA
Source: RNAcentral